Molecule: transfer RNA, 78 nt
Filed under: Candidatus Omnitrophota bacterium
Lineage: Bacteria; Pseudomonadati; Candidatus Omnitrophota
Description: tRNA-Pro
Rfam family: tRNA
About the family: Transfer RNA (tRNA) molecules are approximately 80 nucleotides in length. Their secondary structure includes four short double-helical elements and three loops (D, anti-codon, and T loops). Further hydrogen bonds mediate the characteristic L-shaped molecular structure. tRNAs have two regions of fundamental functional importance: the anti-codon, which is responsible for specific mRNA codon recognition, and the 3' end, to which the tRNAs corresponding amino acid is attached (by aminoacyl-tRNA synthetases). tRNAs cope with the degeneracy of the genetic code in two manners: having more than one tRNA (with a specific anti-codon) for a particular amino acid; and 'wobble' base-pairing, i.e. permitting non-standard base-pairing at the 3rd anti-codon position.
Source: RNAcentral
CGGGACGUGGCUCAGCCCGGCUAGAGCACUUGCUUGGGGUGCAAGGGGUCGAGAGUUCAAAUCUCUCCGUCCCGACCA